This 217-nucleotide signal recognition particle RNA is filed under the name Calditrichota bacterium. RNAcentral describes it as "Calditrichaeota bacterium partial signal recognition particle sRNA large type". It matches the Rfam family "Bacterial large signal recognition particle RNA", at positions 47 to 256 of the family's 256-position model. From Rfam's summary of the family: The signal recognition particle (SRP) is a universally conserved ribonucleoprotein involved in the co-translational targeting of proteins to membranes. Archaeal SRP consists of a 7S RNA and homologues of the eukaryotic SRP19 and SRP54 proteins. In most bacteria, the SRP consists of a 4.5S RNA and the Ffh protein (a homologue of the eukaryotic SRP54 protein). Lineage: Bacteria; Pseudomonadati; Calditrichota. The record is from RNAcentral.
ACAGCAGGGUUGAAUUCCGGCUUGCGGCUUUGGUCUGGUAGGACUACUUGGGCUAAGUGGUGUUGAAGGCCGGGUCCUGCGCGGCAGGACGCUAUGAACCCCGUCAGGUCCGAGAGGAAGCAGCGGUAAAUAGUUGUUUCUGGGUGCCGCAGGGUUACCUGGUCGGAGCUGGCUGGCUCAAGCAAGCUGUUAGGCAGGGUCAAGGGUCGGUGCACGG